GACGAACGCUGGCGGCGUGCUUAACACAUGCAAGUCGAACGGAAAGGCCCUGCUUGCAGGGUACUCGAGUGGCGAACGGGUGAGUAACACGUGGGUGAUCUGCCCUGCACUUCGGGAUAAGCCUGGGAAACUGGGUCUAUUACCGGAUCGGAGCCAUUUUUAGUGUGAUGGUUGGAAAGUUUUUUCGGUGUAGGAUGAGCUCGCGGCCUAUCAGCUUGUUGGUGGGGUAAUGGCCUACCAAGGCGGCGACGGGUAGCCGGCCUGGGAGGGGGGACGGCCACAUUGGGACUGAGAUGCGGCACAGACUCCUACGGGAGGCAGGGGUGGAGAAUAUUGCACAAUGGGCGGAAGCCUGAUGCAGCGACGCCGCGUGGGGGAUGACGGCCUUCGGGUUGUAAACUCCUUUCGCUAGGGACGAAGCUUUUGUGACGGUACCUAGAGAAGAAGCACCGGCUAACUACGUG
RNAcentral lists this ribosomal RNA (464 nucleotides) under uncultured bacterium. Its description in RNAcentral is "partial 16S ribosomal RNA". It matches the Rfam family "Bacterial small subunit ribosomal RNA", at positions 28 to 507 of the family's 1533-position model. The record is from RNAcentral.